This 2994-nucleotide unclassified non-coding RNA is filed under the name Leishmania donovani. RNAcentral describes it as "gene:LdHU3.32.1600(CDS-product:Ankyrin_repeats_(3 _copies)/Ankyrin_repeats_(many_copies)/Ankyrin_repeat_putat ive)". The record is from RNAcentral. Lineage: Eukaryota; Euglenozoa; Kinetoplastea; Trypanosomatida; Trypanosomatidae.
CAAGAACCCUCCUCUUCGGUAACGCCGCACAUGCGCGAUCUCACGUAGACGGCUGCGUCGUUUGUUUUCGCCGAAGGUACCGCCUGCUCGCACGUUUUCUUCCAUUUCGUUUGCUCAACCGUCAACUCUACCGCCAUGAACUCUGACGAGUCGUCAGCGUUUAGCUACGUGCUGGAACUGCUGCUCUCGCCGCUAGAGGAACCUUUUCGCCGGUAUCUGGACAUCUGCGAGGAUGUGCACAUGCGCGACGCGAGUCGUAAUACAAUGCUUCACUGGGCCGCCACUGUCGGCAACGUCGCUGCCGCGUAUGCGCUACUUCAGCAUGGCGUCGAGGUGGAUGCCCGCAACGUGUACGGCGCGACGCCGCUGCACUUGGCCGCCGCCUUUGCGCCAAACAUGGGUGUGAUGGGCCCUCUCUUGAUGCAGCAUGGUGCAUCGUUGACAGCAUCACUUAGCUCCCGGAAUGCGACCGGGGUGGAGUCCCUAUUGGCGUCGAGGGGCUUGAAAGCAGUUUGGACAUGGAUGUUUGAGCUGAGUGCAUUGCUUCAGCAGAAUGAUGACAGCAGUCCCUUGCUGUUCCGGUUUGCUGGUUCAUCGACCCUCCCCUCUGCUGCGUCAAUCAGGACCAUAACGCCACUGCUCUGUGCGCCGGAAGAAUUACAGCAACUGGGCCAAGGCCGCCGAAGCAGUAUGCAGCGGCGAUGCGCAGCAGCAGGCAUGCGCGCGGUGCCGAUCCCACGCGCUCCAGCUAGGCGGUUGACUCCGCGUGGUGGUGGCGGCCACCUGCUCCUGCAGAAGCGGCCGGCGCAACUGGCCUUGUCACACGCCGCAGCAGUGGAAGCCUCGUCGUCUGCUACCGCCGCCUCCGCUGCGUUCCUCCGCAGCGCGACGGCGGAAAGGGAAGCUGCUGUCGCGCUCUUUGCCUCUCGUGAGGCGGCGGGACGCAUCCAGCUGGAAAAGGAGCAGGUGGAAGCACGUCUGGAGAUUUACGUGGAGCUGUGUGCUCCACUCUGGUCUUCGUAUACCUGCGACGCAGGGGACGAGGUGGAUGUCGACUCGAAGAUGCCUGCCUCGUCGUCUUGGUGGGGCACUGCGGGCGCGGUGGGGAGCCCCGAAGGCGAUGAUACUUACGCCGGCUUAGUCGGGCUCGUCGUUGCGGUGCUUGGCGAAAAGUUCGACGUGAAGGGCGGCCGCCAACUCUUUGUUCAGUACAACGAGCCUGCCGGCGUGGACGGCGCCCAUGUCGCUGAAGUUUGGUGUCCCUUCAGCUCCGUGGCUCGUGACCCCGUGGUGGUCGCCUACAUCGACCGCUACAGCCGCACCUACGGGCUAACAAACUCCGUAAGCGUGAAGGCUGAUGCGACCCCGUCGAUCCUGAACGGCGACGUUGGCUCCGGAAGCCCCCUCGACACCAUGGAACGAGAGCAGCUCGAGGAGCAACUGCGGAUGCUGCCCCGCAGAGACUUGUCCAGCCCAGAGAGCGCAGUGUCGCUGAAUGCCUCCACCAAGCAGCUCAUCCCGGUCGCGGCGAGUGAACUAAAAUCGCCGGAUGAGUUUUACUCAGUGAGGGAUGAGUCGACACCACCCGUGUCGAGGUCCCCGAACCCCGCGACGCUGACGGGCGAACUCGCGUCGCCACACCCGCGCCCGUGGUGGGACGAAAAGGAUGGUGACACGUGGCAUGUUGCGCAAGCCCAGAUGCAAGAGAUUAGCCCUGUGCAGGGGGUUUGGCCGGCCACGGCACCAGCAGUGUCACCGGAGCUGAUGCCCCCUCAGACAGGCGCGGAGGCGGCGCAGGAGACGGCCGCGAGUGCAGUAACGGACCACGCGGUUGUGGGUGAGCGUUCGCAGCCCGGUCGAGAUGACGCUUGUGCUCACCUGUGCCAGCACUCCUCGCUGGACAUGAACAGAGCCGUAUCAGGCGCCUCCUCGACGGUGCAUACGCAGCCUCAGGUCAGUUCUCUACGCGACAGCGCCAGCGGGAUUCUAGAAAAGGAUGAGCGUUACCAUUUGUCAGAGACACAAAAGACCAAGUACAACAGGUUCCUGCGCGACUCGGCGUUGCAGCGACUGCACAAACGCCAGGGGCGGCUCUUUGCUGGCGCUUCUGGUGGCUAACACGCGGCGGACAGAGGAGCUGGCACACACACUAACAGAAGCCCAAGGCACUUGCGCUGACUUUGAUUCGUGCCAUUGCCCAUACGAACCUCACCAGCUAUCAAAACAUUUUGCUGUUCUAUGUGAAGCAUAUUCCUUGUUUUCUGUUGUAUCCCCCAAAGGCCACUCCCUGUUGUUGUCGUUUUUCGUUUUCGCCGUCCUCUCUGUUCCCUCACCUCCACGCAAUGUCGAAUUUGAUGUACAGAUUACACCCCUCAGUUCUCUUUAAGACCCCUUCCGCUUUUCAUUGCUCGCGGUGCGUAGGCCGCCACGCAUAGAUCCCAUCUCUCCGCCUCUGUCUGUCUAUCUGUAUGUAUAUGUGUCGUUAUGAUGUUUUUGUAAUUUGGUCGUCUCUUACAUAUAUUUUUUUUGCGUUUGCUCUGUUUCACUUCUGCGUCAUCCUCUUCCCCGUCUUCCACUCCUUCUAUCCCCCCCCCCACUCACAAGGACACACAUACGGCCACGAAACUCGCCAAGCAGUGGGGAGGGGUGGGGGGCUGUGAAGGUCAAAACAAAGAAAAAAGUAAAGGGGGCGUUGAUUUUUGCCAUUCGGGCAGCGGUAACAAGAAAGGGGCGAAGGUGAACAACGUUCGCCGCACGGCUGUCUCGCCAGCAUAGACAUGUGGGCUCCUCCGCGUCGAUAUCUCUGCUGGAGGCGUCAAGAGAAGUGCUGUACCUACCCCUUCCGGCGUAGGCUGAUGUGUGUUCUCUUUCUUGCGACGGCUUCUGCACCCGCAAAACGGUGCACGUCGAGCAGAGAACAGCCGCCCACGUCUCCUCUUUUCUUUGCAUCUCCCGCCCCCCGUCUCCCCCCGGCCCUCCUCCAAAUACGUACAG